AGCUCCAAUAGCGUAUAUUAAAGUUGUUGCAGUUAAAAAGCUCGUAGUUGGAUCUCGGGAGCAGGCCGGCGGUCCGCCUCGCGGCGGGUUCUUCCUUUUCUCCCCCUCCUUCCGGGUUUUCCCCCGGGGUCUUCUUUUCGGGGCUCCGGGGGGCCGGAACGUUUACUUUGAAAAAAUUAGAGUGUUCAAAGCAGGCAGUUCGCCUGAAUAAUGGUGCAUGGAAUAAUGGAAUAGGACCUCGGUUCUAUUUUGUUGGUUUUCGGAACUUGAGGUAAUGAUUAAGAGGGACAGACGGGGGCAUUCGUAUUACACUGUUAGAGGUGAAAUUCUUGGAUCGGUGUAAGACGAACUACUGCGAAAGCAUUUGCCAAGAAUGUUUUCA
Molecule: ribosomal RNA, 382 nt
Filed under: marine Metazoa environmental sample
Lineage: Eukaryota; Metazoa
Description: partial small subunit ribosomal RNA
Rfam family: Eukaryotic small subunit ribosomal RNA
Source: RNAcentral